RNAcentral lists this ribosomal RNA (893 nucleotides) under Erysiphe quercicola. Its description in RNAcentral is "eukaryotic LSU rRNA". It matches the Rfam family "Eukaryotic large subunit ribosomal RNA", at positions 78 to 984 of the family's 3401-position model. The record is from RNAcentral. Lineage: Eukaryota; Fungi; Ascomycota; Leotiomycetes; Helotiales; Erysiphaceae.
UUUUAGUAACGGGCGAGUGAAGCGGUAACAGCUCAAAUUUGAAAUCUGGCUCUUGCGGAGUCCGAGUUGUAAUUUGUAGAAGAUGCUUUGGGUUGUGGGUUCGGCCUAAGUUCCUUGGAACAGGACGUCAUAGAGGGUGAGAAUCCCGUAUGUGGCCGAGGCCCGCGCCUAUGUAAAGCUCUUUCAACGAGUCGAGUUGUUUGGGAAUGCAGCUCAAAAUGGGUGGUAAAUUUCAUCUAAAGCUAAAUAUGGGCCAGAGACCGAUAGCGCACAAGUAGAGUGAUCGAAAGAUGAAAAGCACUUUGGAAAGAGAGUUAAACAGUACGUGAAAUUGUUGAAAGGGAAGCGCUUGCAACCAGACUUGGGCGCUGCCGAUCACCUUGAGUUUUCUCGAGUGCACUCGACAGCGCACAGGCCAGCAUCGGUUCGGGUGGCUGGAUAAAGGCCGUAGGAAUGUGGCUCUCUUCGGGGAGUGUUAUAGCCUACGGUGCCAUGCAGCCCAGCCGGACCGAGGACCGCGCCUUCGGGCUAGGAUGCUGGCGUAAUGGUUGUAAGCGACCCGUCUUGAAACACGGACCAAGGAGUCUAACAUCUAUGCGAGUGUUUGGGUGGUAAACCCAUACGCGGAAUGAAAGUGAACGUAGGUGAGAACCCCUUUGGGGCGCAUCAUCGACCGAUCCUGAUGUCUUCGGAUGGAUUUGAGUAAGAGCAUAGCUGUUGGGACCCGAAAGAUGGUGAACUAUGCCUGAAUAGGGUGAAGCCAGAGGAAACUCUGGUGGAGGCUCGCAGCGGUUCUGACGUGCAAAUCGAUCGUCAAAUUUGGGCAUAGGGGCGAAAGACUAAUCGAACCAUCUAGUAGCUGGUUCCUGCCGAAGUUUCCCUCAGGAUAGCAA